AUUGAACGCUGGCGGCAUGCCUUACACAUGCAAGUCGAACGGUAACGCGGGGCAACCUGGCGACGAGUGGCGAACGGGUGAGUAAUAUAUCGGAACGUACCCAAGAGUGGGGGAUAACGCAGCGAAAGUUGCGCUAAUACCGCAUACGAUCUACGGAUGAAAGUGGGGGAUUCGCAAGAACCUCAUGCUCCUGGAGCGGCCGAUAUCUGAUUAGCUAGUUGGUAGGGUAAAGCCUACCAAGGCAUCGAUCAGUAGCUGGUCUGAGAGGACGACCAGCCACACUGGAACUGAGACACGGUCCAGACUCCUACGGGAGGCAGCAGUGGGGAAUUUUGGACAAUGGGGGCAACCCUGAUCCAGCAAUGCCGCGUGAGUGAAGAAGGCC
RNAcentral lists this ribosomal RNA (385 nucleotides) under uncultured bacterium. Its description in RNAcentral is "bacterial SSU rRNA". It matches the Rfam family "Bacterial small subunit ribosomal RNA", at positions 30 to 416 of the family's 1533-position model. The record is from RNAcentral.